UACGGAGGGUGCAAGCGUUGUCCGGAUUCAUUGGGUUUAAAGGGUGCGUAGGCGGCUCGAUAAGUCAGCGGUGAAAUCCCUAGGCUCAACCUAGGAAUUGCCGUUGAUACUGCCGGGCUUGAGUUCGACCGAGGUCGCUGGAACGCGUAGUGUAGCGGUGAAAUGCUUAGAUAUUACGCAGAACACCGAUUGCGAAGGCAGGUGGCUAGGUCGCGACUGACGCUGAGGCACGAAAGUGCGGGGAUCAAACAGG
This 253-nucleotide ribosomal RNA is filed under the name uncultured bacterium. Its description in RNAcentral is "partial 16S ribosomal RNA". It matches the Rfam family "Bacterial small subunit ribosomal RNA", at positions 524 to 776 of the family's 1533-position model. The record is from RNAcentral.